GACGUAGGGGGCUAGCGUUGCUCGGAAUUACUGGGCGUAAAGGGCGCGUAGGUGGAUAUCUAAGUUGGGGGUGAAAUCCCGGGGCUCAACCUCGGAAUUGCCUUCAAAACUGGGUAUCUUGAGUUCGGGAGAGGUGAGUGGAACUCCGAGUGUAGAGGUGAAAUUCGUAGAUAUUCGGAAGAACACCAGUGGCGAAGGCGACUCACUGGCCCGAUACUGACGCUGAGGCGCGAAAGCGUGGGGAGCAAACAGG
Molecule: ribosomal RNA, 253 nt
Filed under: uncultured bacterium
Lineage: Bacteria
Description: partial 16S ribosomal RNA
Rfam family: Bacterial small subunit ribosomal RNA
Source: RNAcentral